CAGCAGCCACGGGAAUACGAAGGGGGCUAGCGUUGCUCGGAAUCACUGGGCGUAAAGCGCACGUAGGCGGAUCGUUAAGUCAGGGGUGAAAGCCUGGAGCUCAACUCCAGAACUGCCUUUGAUACUGGCGAUCUCGAGUCCGGAAGAGGUGAGUGGAACUGCGAGUGUAGAGGUGAAAUUCGUAGAUAUUCGCAAGAACACCAGUGGCGAAGGCGGCUCACUGGUCCGGUACUGACGCUGAGGUGCGAAAGCGUGGGGAGCAAACAGGAUUAGAUACCCCCGUAGUCCCUGUCUCUUAUAC
This 301-nucleotide ribosomal RNA is filed under the name uncultured bacterium. RNAcentral's name for it is "partial 16S ribosomal RNA". It matches the Rfam family "Bacterial small subunit ribosomal RNA", at positions 509 to 807 of the family's 1533-position model. The record is from RNAcentral.